GCUUACGGCCACGACGCCUGCUUAAUGCCCGAUCUCGUUUGAUCUCGGAAGCUAAGAUAGGUUGGGCCUGGUUAGUACUUGGAUGGGAGACCGCCUGGGAAUACCAGGUGCUGUAAGCU
RNAcentral lists this ribosomal RNA (119 nucleotides) under Scophthalmus maximus (turbot). The record is from RNAcentral. Lineage: Eukaryota; Metazoa; Chordata; Actinopteri; Pleuronectiformes; Scophthalmidae.